UAUGAGUGUGUGUGUGUGUGUGUGUCAGGGUGUGUGUGUGACAUAUCCUGAUGCACACACACACACACUCACACA
Molecule: non-coding RNA, 75 nt
Organism: Pelobates cultripes (western spadefoot toad)
Lineage: Eukaryota; Metazoa; Chordata; Amphibia; Anura; Pelobatidae
Source: the annotation of a GenBank genome assembly